This is a long non-coding RNA of Microtus oregoni (creeping vole), 283 nucleotides long. RefSeq lists it as uncharacterized. The record is from RefSeq and is a predicted model, not a curated record. The transcript is spliced from 3 exons. Lineage: Eukaryota; Metazoa; Chordata; Mammalia; Rodentia; Cricetidae.
CUACUAAGGAGAUCUCAGCUAUGUGGGAGGAUCUCUUUCACCACCCCACGACCCCUCUGUGUCCUCAAGUUGGAAGGCAGCCUGGGCUCCACAUGUUAGAGGAUGGUCCAAACCCCCAGAACCACGUGAGUGGCUCUGUUUGAUGACAUCCAGAUGCUGUUCAUCACAGGUCCUGCUGGCCCCACAGCUGCAGGAGAUACUAAGAGGAAAACCUGCUAUGAAGAGCUGAACUGGGGCCGAGAGAGAUGAGGGCUACCAGGCUUGAAUGUCCUCUCUGACUCUG